ACGAAGGGGGCUAGCGUUGUUCGGAAUUACUGGGCGUAAAGCGCGCGCAGGCGGUCCUUCAAGUCAGAGGUGAAAGCCCAGAGCUCAACUCUGGAACGGCCUUUGAGACUAGAGGACUAGGGUACGGGAGAGGUGAGUGGAAUUCCGAGUGUAGAGGUGAAAUUCGUAGAUAUUCGGAAGAACACCAGUGGCGAAGGCGGCUCACUGGCCCGUUACCGACGCUCAGGCGCGACAGCGUGGGGAGCAAACAGGAUUAGAUACCCUGGUAGUCCACGCCGUAAACGAUGGAUGCUAGCCGUUGGUAAGCAUGCUUAUCAGUGGCGCAGCUAACGCAUUAAGCGUCCCGCCUGGGGAGUACGGCCGCAAGGUUG
This 371-nucleotide ribosomal RNA is filed under the name uncultured bacterium. RNAcentral's name for it is "bacterial SSU rRNA". It matches the Rfam family "Bacterial small subunit ribosomal RNA", at positions 525 to 896 of the family's 1533-position model. The record is from RNAcentral.